This 449-nucleotide ribosomal RNA is filed under the name uncultured bacterium. RNAcentral describes it as "partial 16S ribosomal RNA". It matches the Rfam family "Bacterial small subunit ribosomal RNA", at positions 338 to 795 of the family's 1533-position model. The record is from RNAcentral.
CCUACGGGCGGCUGCAGUGGGGAAUUUUGGACAAUGGGCGCAAGCCUGAUCCAGCCAUGCCGCGUGAGUGAAGAAGGCCUUCGGGUUGUAAAGCUCUUUCGGCCGGGAAGAAAUCGCAUGGGUUAAUACCCUGUGCGGAUGACGGUACCGGCAUAAGAAGCACCGGCUAACUACGUGCCAGCAGCCGCGGUAAUACGGAGGGUGCGAGUGUUAAUCGGAAUUACGCAGCGGGAUGCGUGCGCAGGGCGUUAAAUCCCCGGGCUCAACCUGGGAACUGCGCUUAUGACUGGCAAGCUAGAGUACGGCAGAGGGGGGUGGAAUUCCACGUGUAGCAGUGAAAUGCGUAGAGAUGUGGAGGAACACCAAUGGCGAAGGCAGCCCCCUGGGUCGAUACUGACGCUCAUGCACGAAAGCGUGGGUAGCAAACAGGAUUAGAUACCCGGGUAGUC